GACGAACGCUGGCGGCGUGCUUAACACAUGCAAGUCGAACGGAAAGGCCCUGCUUUUGUGGGGUGCUCGAGUGGCGAACGGGUGAGUAACACGUGAGUAACCUGCCCUUGACUUUGGGAUAACUUCAGGAAACUGGGGCUAAUACCGGAUAGGAGCUCCUGCUGCAUGGUGGGGGUUGGAAAGUUUCGGCGGUUGGGGAUGGACUCGCGGCUUAUCAGCUUGUUGGUGGGGUAGUGGCUUACCGAGGCUUUGACGGGUAGCCGGCCUGAGAGGGUGACCGGCCACAUUGGGACUGAGAUACGGCCCAGACUCCUACGGGAGGCAGCAGUGGGGAAUAUUGCACAAUGGGCGGAAGCCUGAUGCAGCAACGCCGCGUGCGGGAUGACGGCCUUCGGGUUGUAAACCGCUUUCGCCUGUGACGAAGCGUGAGUGACGGUAAUGGGUAAAGAAGCACCGGCUAACUACGUGCCAGCAGCCGCGGUGAUACGUAGGGUGCGAGCGUUGUCCGGAUUUAUUGGGCGUAAAGGGCUCGUAGGUGGUUGAUCGCGUCGGAAGUGUAAUCUUGGGGCUUAACCCUGAGCGUGCUUUCGAUACGGGUUGACUUGAGGAAGGUAGGGGAGAAUGGAAUUCCUGGUGGAGCGGUGGAAUGCGCAGAUAUCAGGAGGAACACCAGUGGCGAAGGCGGUUCUCUGGGCCUUUCCUGACGCUGAGGAGCGAAAGCGUGGGGAGCGAACAGGCUUAGAUACCCUGGUAGUCCACGCUGUAAACGGUGGGUACUAGGUGUGGGGUCCAUUCCACGGGUUCCGUGCCGUAGCUAACGCUUUAAGUACCCCGCCUGGGGAGUACGGCCGCAAGGCUAAAACUCAAAGGAAUUGACGGGGCCCCGCACAAGCGGCGGAGCAUGCGGAUUAAUUCGAUGCAACGCGUAGAACCUUACCUGGGUUUGACAUGGAUCGGGAGUGCUCAGAGAUGGGUGUGCCUCUUUUGGGGUCGGUUCACAGGUGGUGCAUGGCUGUCGUCAGCUCGUGUCGUGAGAUGUUGGGUUAAGUCCCGCAACGAGCGCAACCCUUGUUCACUGUUGCCAGCACGUUAUGGUGGGGACUCAGUGGAGACCGCCGGGGUCAACUCGGAGGAAGGUGGGGAUGACGUCAAGUCAUCAUGCCCCUUAUGUCCAGGGCUUCACGCAUGCUACAAUGGCUGGUACAGAGAGUGGCGAGCCUGUGAGGGUGAGCGAAUCUCGGAAAGCCGGUCUCAGUUCGGAUUGGGGUCUGCAACUCGACCUCAUGAAGUCGGAGUCGCUAGUAAUCGCAGAUCAGCAACGCUGCGGUGAAUACGUUCCCGGG
This 1343-nucleotide ribosomal RNA is filed under the name uncultured bacterium. RNAcentral's name for it is "16S ribosomal RNA". It matches the Rfam family "Bacterial small subunit ribosomal RNA", at positions 28 to 1378 of the family's 1533-position model. The record is from RNAcentral.